This 439-nucleotide ribosomal RNA is filed under the name uncultured bacterium. RNAcentral's name for it is "bacterial SSU rRNA". It matches the Rfam family "Bacterial small subunit ribosomal RNA", at positions 338 to 795 of the family's 1533-position model. The record is from RNAcentral.
CCUACGGGACGCACCAGUGGGGAAUAUUGGACAAUGGGCGAAAGCCUGAUCCAGCAAUGCCGCGUGAGUGAAGAAGGUCUUCGGAUUGUAAAGCACUUUCGACGGGGACGAUGAUGGCGGUACCCGUAGAAGAAGCCCCGGCUAACUUCGUGCCAGCAGCCGCGGUAUACGAAGGGGGCUAGCGUUGCUCGGAAUGACUGGGCGUAAAGGGCGCGUAGGCGGUUUAUGCAGUCAGAUGUGAAAUCCCCGGGCUUAACCUGGGAACUGCAUUUGAGACGCAUAGACUAGAGGUCGAGAGAGGGUUGUGGAAUUCCCAGUGUAGAGGUGAAAUUCGUAGAUAUUGGGAAGAACACCGGAGGCGAAGGCGGCAACCUGGCUCGAUACUGACGCUGAGGCGCGAAAGCGUGGGGAGCAAACAGGAUUAGAUACCCUUGUAGUC